Molecule: long non-coding RNA, 1089 nt
Filed under: Actinidia chinensis (golden kiwifruit)
Lineage: Eukaryota; Viridiplantae; Streptophyta; Magnoliopsida; Ericales; Actinidiaceae
Description: long non-coding RNA (ACHI_LNC000385)
Source: RNAcentral
UUCUCGGCAAUGGCACAACAUUUCUCGGCAAUGGCCAGCCUAGCUCAAAUUUCUAGGCAAUGAUCAGCGUGCACAAAUGCCCAGCCAUGCCCAUUGUUUCUCGGGGCAAUUGCCCCCAUGGGUUCGAGCAUUUCCUCGCAAAUGAACGCAUUUUCCUCGCAUUGGCAGCCAUGGCCGCAAUUUUCUCGAAUGGCACCAAUUUUCUCGCCAUGGCACAAUGGGCUCACAAUUUCCUCGCAAUGGUGGCAGCAAUGCACACAUUUGGCCCGGGCCAUUGUUUUCCAAAUUUCGGGGGGGAAGGGGGGAGGGGGAUUGAGGGGGGGUGUCGUGUCCCUUUCCGCACCUCCGCCUGUUUCAGGGAAGCCUUAACCCUGCUUGCUCCCCUUUUUUCUCUAUCCCUGGGGGGCGCCAGUGGCCGUCGAAUUUUUCUCGUCGGCAAUGUCAACAACAUUUUCUCGGCAAUGGCCAGCCAUGGCUUCAAUUUUCUAGGCAAUGAUCAGCCGUGGCACACAAAUGCCCAGCCAUGGCCCAAUUUUCUCGGCCAACGUCUUCCCAGCAGGUUUCACAUUUCUUUUCUCGCAAUGGCACUCAUUUCCUCGGCAAUGGGCAACCAUGGCCCAAUUUUCUCGGCAAUGGCACAAAAUUUCUCGGCAAUGGGCGGCAAUGGGCAGCAAUGGCUAACAAUUUCUCGGCAAUGGCCAGCCAUGGCCCAAUUUUCUCGGCAAUGGCACAAAUUUUCUCGGCAAUGGGCAGCCAUGGCUCAAAUUUCUGGGCAAUUGCCCAGCAAGGGCUCACAUUUCCAGGCAAUGGCACAUCAUUUCUCGGCAAUGGCCAGCCAUGGCUAAAAUUUCUGGGCAAUUGCCCAGCCAGGGCUCACAUUUCCAGGCAAUGGCACAACAUUUCUCGGCAAUGGCCAACCAUGGCUCAAAAUUCUGGGCAAGGGCUCACAAUUUCUCGGCAAUGGGCAGCCAUGGCACGCAUUUGCCAGGCCAUGGCUCAGAUUUCUCGGCAAUGGGCAGCCAUGGCUCAAAUUUCUGGGCAAUGGCUCACAAUUUCUAGGCAAUGAUCAGCCUAGGCACACAAAUGCCC